Molecule: RNA transcript, 1365 nt
Organism: Callorhinchus milii (elephant shark)
Lineage: Eukaryota; Metazoa; Chordata; Chondrichthyes; Chimaeriformes; Callorhinchidae
Gene: srprb
Gene name: SRP receptor subunit beta
Exons: 9
Source: RefSeq, a predicted model, not a curated record
GGCACACUUCCCGGGAUGCACCGGCGUCCCCUCAAACCGGCAGCAGCGGUACUCGUCCCGGCAUGCACUCGGGCAGCUCACAGUGACACGAGGAAGAUGGCGGCGGCGGCUCUUCAGAUUUACGUGGACGCCGUGCGCCGGGAGUUGCAACGCCAGGAUCCCGCCGUCCUGGGCAUUGCCGUUUCCCUGGCCGUAGUUCUGCUGACGAUUGUUUUCUUCAUAUUCUUGCGGAGAAGAAGAAGUAGCCGCAGAGCAGUGUUGAUUGUUGGUCUAUGUGAUUCUGGGAAGACUCUUUUCUAUUGUAGGCUGUUGUCUGGGAAGUUUAAGGUGACCCAGACUUCGAUAACUAGUAACUCUUCACCGUACAAGGUUAAAAGUGAUAAGGGACCUACUCUUCACUUGUAUGACCUUCCUGGUCAUGAGAGCCUGCGGCUUCAGUUUUUGGAGAAGCACAAAGCUGAGGCCAGGGCCAUCGUGUUUGUGGUGGACAGUGUGUCAUUCCAGAAAGAGGUAAAGGAUGUGGCCGAGUUCCUCUACACACUGCUGACAGACCCACAGAUUGUGAAUAAUGCGACGCCCCUCCUGAUUUCCUGUAACAAACAAGAUGUGACGAUGGCCAAAUCAGCAAAAUUAAUUCAACAGCAACUGGAAAAAGAAAUCAACACUCUGCGGAUGAUUCGCUCUGCUGCACCAAGUUCUUUAGAUGAAUCCGGUAUUGGUAGUGCAGUACCCUUGGGAAAGAAAGGGAAGGACUUUGAUUUCUCACAGGUGCCCAUGAGAGUUGAUUUUGUGGAAUGUAGCGCAAGAGGAAACAAAGGAGAAGAUGGAGAGGCUGACCUUGGGAUUGUGGAAACGUGGUUGCUUAAGACAGCAUGAGCUUCAAGCCAUGAGGAAAAGUUAUGGGGAUGAAGUGCUUGGAGUUUGCAAUUGCAAACUAAAUAUUUUUCCAGGAACAGAUUGUUCAAAAAGACAUAGAACACAACAGCUUGUAAUCACUUUUUCACUGGCAUGAAAUUGUAUGACUACCUUCUCAAACUCUGGAUCCAGUCCAGCGCUGUAACAUUGCUCCUUCAAGCUGCAUCAGUGAUCCAGAGAUGAUGGAAUGUGACACGCAAAAAAGCCACUCUGUGAUGCGACUGCCAAAGAAACUCACUUGAUCCCGGUGGAUAAAGGACCCUGUCUGCAUCACAAUUGUGCUUUUCUGCAGAUACAAAAAUACAAAAAAAAAUUGUACCGUUCCAGUUAUUGAAAAAGUGCGUUUACAGAAACUCAAAGAAUGCUUCAAGGUUGCCUACAGUUUCUACUUUUUUUACAUUUUUUUUGGGCAAAUCUUUACUCAAUAAAAUACAUUAUGUUACAACAGAA